AUGGAGUUGGCUUGGGACUUUCCAUCUCAAUCCCACGCACUUACUGAGGAGUUUGCUCUUUUCCAUUCUUUCGCACCUUCUAGUUUUUUUCAUAACUCCGUCAGCAGAGUUGCAAAGGUUACCGCGCCGCUCAUCGCGCUGAGUCAAAGCUGUUCGUUCCUCUCACUCUUUCUGACGAUUCUGCAUAAAAUCUGGACUGCCGACAUUCAUCUACUGGAAUUGGGUCUUUGCAUUGCGUGAAUAAUGGCGAAAAACGUUACCUCUAUACUGUUGUUGGUCUGCGUCACAUUUUUGGUGAUCGUCUCAUCCCCGCAGAACGUGGCCCAAGGUGACGUUCUCAUCGGAAGUUGCGUCUGGGGCGGAGUGAACUACACCUCUGACUGCUUGAAAGAGUGCAAACGACGAGGAUACAAAGGCGGACAUUGUGGAAGUGCUUUGAAUGUAAAUUGUUGGUGCGAAACCCGUAAAUAAGAUUAUCUAAUAAAAUCAGGCUGAGCAAUUUAGAAAACUUUAUGAAUCCCAAUCUAUAAUACAAGGAGUCAAAGUUGGUAAUGUGUACUGAAAGUGUGAAACGUUGCAAUAUAAUACAAUUUUUAUUAAGCCACUCUAGUUCUUGUUCCUUAACUUCAACAGUAUUUCAGGGAAUGUACACUAAAAAUAUCACUGCUAUCUCGGAAACGAUUGGAUGAAAAAAAGGCAUGAAUCCUCUUUAUGGAUUGUUUUUUUUUUUGGGGGGGGGGGGGAAGGUUGGACUGGUAUUUAAGAAAAAGGAAGUCUUGAAUAUAUGUACAUAAAACUCUUAAGCUUUAAAUCAACGUAUACCAUUUCAAAAUAUGAUGCUCAUUCAUUUCGUCACCCUCCGGCCAAAGUAUCACAAGCGCCAUAUGUGACGUUUAAAAAUUUCCGCCACAAUUUUAUUUUAUUAUUUUUUUUUUUUUCAGAAAAAUUGUGCAACGAAGUUGUCCGAAAAGAGCCUCCCAAAAUUUAGCCCCUUUUUCGGCAGUCGAUUCGACCAUCGGAUUAAAGUUCGAAUGGAAGCUUAUAACUCGAGGUCUAUCGAUCUGACAAACCGAUUUUUUGCGAUUUCUUACGGAAAACCGAUGGUUUCUUGAAAUUAAAAUUUUAUUUAUUUUAAUCAAUGCGAGAGUGAAGGUAUACACCCGACACGACUACAGAUUUUCUGUUAGUCUGGCGGAACCAAAUAUAUUGACACCAGAGUGAAUGAGUAAAUGAAUGACUACACUUAGAAUGAUUUAAGAGGAGACAAACAUAUACCUUUUUAUGGAGCAUUAUGUCGCAGGCAGUCAGCAAUCAUUGGAAAAUUGCAAGCAGAUGCUUGUUAACUCGUCAAAUUGCAAUAAUCCGCAUGGACAUAGCAAAGUGUAUGGAGGGUACCGGUACCUGCUGUGCUCUCUGGGAUAUAGUGAGAGGUUUCAUUGACAAAGAACUUUAAAAGUGCGAACUCCGUAUGGAGCGCCUACCGAUCCUAUGAUACUCUCUGCGUUGCUUGGCAGUUAGUUUAGUUGCUUAACCAAACCGAA
This 1541-nucleotide long non-coding RNA is filed under the name Bemisia tabaci. RNAcentral's name for it is "lncRNA ENSSSA1UGG002790". Lineage: Eukaryota; Metazoa; Arthropoda; Insecta; Hemiptera; Aleyrodidae. The record is from RNAcentral.